RNAcentral lists this ribosomal RNA (815 nucleotides) under uncultured Clostridia bacterium. Its description in RNAcentral is "bacterial SSU rRNA". It matches the Rfam family "Bacterial small subunit ribosomal RNA", at positions 63 to 894 of the family's 1533-position model. The record is from RNAcentral. Lineage: Bacteria; Bacillati; Bacillota; Clostridia.
UGAAAUCUUGACAGAACCCUUCGGGGUGAAGAUAAGAUGGAUUAGCGGCGGACGGGUGAGUAACACGUGAGUAACCUGCCUUAGACAUUGGGAUAGCCUCGGGAAACCGGGAUUAAUACCAAAUGAAAUCACAUAUGCACAUGCAUAAAUGAUCAAAGCUCCGGCGGUCUAAGAUGGACUCGCGUCCCAUUAGCUAGUUGGUGAGGUAACGGCCCACCAAGGCGACGAUGGGUAGCCGGCCUGAGAGGGUGAACGGCCACAUUGGAACUGAGACACGGUCCAAACUCCUACGGGAGGCAGCAGUGGGGAAUAUUGCACAAUGGGGGAAACUCUGAUGCAGCGACGCCGCGUGAUUUAGAAGGCCUUCGGGUUGUAAAAAUCUUUUCUAUGGGAAGAAAAUGACAGUACCAUAGGAAUAAGGACCGGCUAAUUACGUGCCAGCAGCCGCGGUAAUACGUAAGGUCCGAGCGUUGUCCGGAAUCAUUGGGCGUAAAGGGUACGUAGGCGGGUAAGCAAGUUAGAAGUGAAAUCCUAUAGCUCAACUAUAGUAAGCUUUUAAAACUGCUCAUCUUGAGGUAUGGAAGGGAAAGUGGAAUUCCUAGUGUAGCGGUGAAAUGCGCAGAUAUUAGGAGGAAUACCGGUGGCGAAGGCGACUUUCUGGCCAUAACCUGACGCUGAGGUACGAAAGCGUGGGUAGCAAACAGGAUUAGAUACCCUGGUAGUCCACGCUGUAAACGAUGAGUGCUAGGUAUCGGAAAAAUUCGGUGCCGCAGUUAACACAUUAAGCACUCCGCCUGGGGAGUACGUGCCAAGCA